ACGCUGGCGGCGUGCCUAAUACAUGCAAGUCGAGCGAAGUUUUUCUGGUGCUUGCACCGGAAAAACUUAGCGGCGAACGGGUGAGUAACACGUAAAGAACCUGCCUCAUAGACUGGGACAACUAUUGGAAACGAUAGCUAAUACCGGAUAACAGCAUUAACUGCAUGGUUGAUGUUUAAAAGUUGGUUUUGCUAACACUAUGAGAUGGCUUUGCGGUGCAUUAGCUAGUUGGUGGGGUAAAGGCCUACCAAGGCGACGAUGCAUAGCCGACCUGAGAGGGUGAUCGGCCACACUGGGACUGAGACACGGCCCAGACUCCUACGGGAGGCAGCAGUAGGGAAUCUUCCGCAAUGGGCGAAAGCCUGACGGAGCAACGCCGCGUGAGUGAAGAAGGAUUUCGGUUCGUAAAGCUCUGUUGUUAGGGAAGAAUGAUUGUGUAGUAACUAUACACAGUAGAGACGGUACCUAACCAGAAAGCCACGGCUAACUACGUGCCAGCAGCCGCGGUAAUACGUAGGUGGCAAGCGUUGUCCGGAAUUAUUGGGCGUAAAGCGCGCGCAGGUGGUUUAAUAAGUCUGGUGUGAAAGCCCACGGCUCGACCGUGGAGGGUCAUUGGAAACUGUUAAACUUGAGUGCAGGAGAGAAAAGUGGAAUUCCUAGUGUAGCGGUGAAAUGCGUAGAGAUUAGGAGGAACACCAGUGGCGAAGGCGGCUUUUUGGCCUGUAACUGACACUGAGGCGCGAAAGCGUGGGGAGCAAACAGGAUUAGAUACCCUGGUAGUCCACGCCGUAAACGAUGAGUGCUAAGUGUUGGUCUCAUAAGAGAUCAGUGCUGCAGCUAACGCAUUAAGCACUCCGCCUGGGGAGUACGACCGCAAGGUUGAAACUCAAAGGAAUUGACGGGGA
RNAcentral lists this ribosomal RNA (905 nucleotides) under uncultured bacterium. Its description in RNAcentral is "bacterial SSU rRNA". It matches the Rfam family "Bacterial small subunit ribosomal RNA", at positions 33 to 919 of the family's 1533-position model. The record is from RNAcentral.